This 635-nucleotide long non-coding RNA is filed under the name Pan troglodytes (chimpanzee). RNAcentral describes it as "long non-coding RNA NONPTRT006886". Lineage: Eukaryota; Metazoa; Chordata; Mammalia; Primates; Hominidae. The record is from RNAcentral.
AGCCUCCAAGGGUAAGAGCUGAAUGGUGAAGCUGGGACUAGACACCAAUGAACUGGUGAGGCUGGGGGACAGGAGGAGGGAGGCUGAGCCAGAGAGUUGGGGGGCAGAGGAGGGGACAGCCUGCAUGCAUAGUGCCCAAUUAUAAUUGGGUUCAGCUGUGGCAGAUCUGGGUACACGUGAUAUUGUAAUUGUGUGUUUGCAAACUCAUGUAUGUGAGGCUGUGUGCACAAACAACUGGCUCUAUGUGAUUCUAUGUGUGUCCUGGGUUUCAGGCCAAACUCCUUCCCCUGGUGGCUCAGGACCUAAGGUUUUAUUGACCCAGUGGCUGUGUCCCUGCAAACCAGCCCCCACCCCAAGUCAUGCCCAGAAUUGGUUCUGCACACAGCCUUGUUUUUUUCAGUAACCCGGCUAUGGGACUGCAGUGCCCAAGGAAUCUCUGCUCUGGUUAGAAAAAGGACUCUGCUUCAGUCCACUUCUGCUCUGGUUAGAAAAAGGACUCUGCUUCAGUCCACAGUACAUAAAAUGUACUCAGCUAUUAGGUCUAUAAGAGCUGGAUGCACAUCAGGAGUGUGCCCCUCUGUAACAACUCUAGUCAGCACAGGCCAUGGUGCACAAAAGGGACUUGGAAAAUGAUG